This 253-nucleotide ribosomal RNA is filed under the name uncultured bacterium. RNAcentral describes it as "partial 16S ribosomal RNA". It matches the Rfam family "Bacterial small subunit ribosomal RNA", at positions 524 to 776 of the family's 1533-position model. The record is from RNAcentral.
UACAGAGGGGGCAAGCGUUGUUCGGAAUUACUGGGCGUAAAGCGCACGUAGGCGGCUUCUUAAGUCAGGGGUGAAAUCCUGGAGCUCAACUCCAGAACUGCCUUUGAUACUGAGAGGCUUGAGUCCGGGAGAGGUGAGUGGAACUGCGAGUGUAGAGGUGAAAUUCGUAGAUAUUCGCAAGAACACCAGUGGCGAAGGCGGCUCACUGGCCCGGUACUGACGCUGAGGUGCGAAAGCGUGGGGAGCAAACAGG